RNAcentral lists this ribosomal RNA (370 nucleotides) under uncultured bacterium. Its description in RNAcentral is "bacterial SSU rRNA". It matches the Rfam family "Bacterial small subunit ribosomal RNA", at positions 527 to 896 of the family's 1533-position model. The record is from RNAcentral.
GUAGGGUGCGAGCGUUAAUCGGAAUUACUGGGCGUAAAGCGUGCGCAGGCGGUUUUGUAAGCCAGAUGUGAAAUCCCCGGGCUUAACCUGGGAAUGGCAUUUGGGACUGCAAGGCUUGAGUGCGGCAGAGGAGACUGGAAUUCCCGGUGUAGCAGUGAAAUGCGUAGAUAUCGGGAGGAAUACCGAUGGCGAAGGCAGGUCUCUGGGCUGACACUGACGCUCAUGCACGAAAGCGUGGGGAGCAAACAGGAUUAGAUACCCUGGUAGUCCACGCCCUAAACGAUGUCGACUGGUUGUUGGGGGUUUGACACUCUCAGUAACGAAGCUAACGCGUGAAGUCGACCGCCUGGGGAGUACGGCCGCAAGGUUA